GGGGCCACCUCGGGGUGCCCGGUUCCGGCCGGCUGAGAUGCGCGAAGCGAACCCGUUGAACCUGAACCGGCUAACACCGGCGGAGGGAAGGUUUCAGCCCUGAGA
This 105-nucleotide non-coding RNA is filed under the name Celeribacter indicus. RNAcentral's name for it is "TPP sequence". It matches the Rfam family "TPP riboswitch aptamer (THI element)". Rfam says of the family: Vitamin B(1) in its active form thiamin pyrophosphate (TPP) is an essential coenzyme that is synthesised by coupling of pyrimidine and thiazole moieties in bacteria. The previously detected thiamin-regulatory element, thi box was extended, resulting in a new, highly conserved RNA secondary structure, the THI element, which is widely distributed in eubacteria and also occurs in some archaea. Lineage: Bacteria; Pseudomonadati; Pseudomonadota; Alphaproteobacteria; Rhodobacterales; Roseobacteraceae. The record is from Rfam by way of RNAcentral.